UUCUUCGCGCACGCCCGCCAUUCCUCCGCGCACGCGCCAUUCCUCCGCGCACGCGCCAUUCCUCCUAGCUAGCACCUCCUCUCCAAGCUCCCAUUGCCCCCUCUAGUUGCACCACGCCUGUGCACGAGCGCCUUAGAAAUGGUAGGCCUCCUGCCUUGUCUUCUUCCAAACUCUUUCCGUGCAGUGGCCGAUCUGGCGCAGUUCACCAUCGCAUUCCAGGAAGACCCCGCCUCACGGGAGGCCUUGACCUUCACAGGAUCGCGGCACACACGUGCGUAGACCCAGCGACCUUGGAGUUCCUGCGUGUCUUCCCCAUGUCUGCAGUCGGAGGGCGUGGCUGCUGUGGCCUCCUUGGACUCCUAGCUGCAUUUCCUUGACCCCCAGGGAUAUGGAGUCCUUCUCUCUAUGCUGAGGCCUGGAAAUUCUCUCCGGUACUAAGAAGAUAUUAGAACUGGUCAGGAUAAAACAAUGGAGCCUUUCUGUGCUGGAUUAAGUUUUCUAUGGCUGCCGUAACAAAUGAACACAAGCUGGAUGGUUUAAAACAACAGAAAUUGGCCAAGGAAUGCAGCCCGAUGGGGUCUCUACCUGGCCAGCGCCAUGACACCUGCACACAAGAUGACAAAGAGAAGGGAGGAGGAACCUCCAUAUUGGAUGUACCUGGCUUCCAGGUAUCCCUUUUCUAUUGGCACAGCUGCUGCAUUCACCUGUGCAAGCUUCCAGCUUGCUUAUCUAUGCUUGCAGCUUGAUUUUUCAGGCUGAUUUUUGUUAGAAAUGUUUUGGGGGCUGCUUUUUUAUUAAAAGAAAAUUCCACCAAGAACUCUUUUACCCUUACUAACUGCCUAAAUAAUUUCUUUUUUAACUCCUCUAUCACUGGCUGCAAAAUUUGCAGCUUUGGCAGAUUAAAUGUGUUACCUACAUCCUCCCAACAGUGGGGCUCCAGCCCAGAGACUCGAAAUCCACCCUGAGUACCAGCAGGAUAUAGGUCACACAUCUGAGAUGAGCUCUUAGCACAGCCCCCAUGGUUGCCUCAGGCUUUUGUUAUGUAGUUUCAGAGGUUCCUGUGGAAGGUUCAAACCACAAGGACUAAAUGAAAGAUUAUAUGUUUUUAUCACAAAGUCUGGCACAUAGUAAGCACCUCAUACAUGAUACCUUUGUCCAUAUUAUGACUUACCUAAAAAGAAAAAAAAAUCAAGUAAAUUUAAGAAGACAACUGUUGUCUUCAUUCCCUCGACCUCGCAUAGUUCUGUGACAUGGAAAGAGAAACUCUCCUGGUGAGAAAAGUCCUCUGAGUGCCUGUUUCAGGAAUGCAAAUAAAAAGGAACCAAGCAGGCGCUGAUUCCCCAGUGUCCUCACCAGCAUCCUUGUGGUGCUGUGUGAACGCCAUCAGCCCUGCUGUUCUCUGCAUCUCUCCAAGUAGACCCUGCAAAGGCUGGUGAGGGACACAGGCUCAGCCCAUCUCAUGUAUCAGCUGGUCUGGACCCUGCACAUCCUAACAUGGUGCUCAGCAGUUUCUGGCUGUUUGGGAACCACUGCUCAGCAUGGGCAGUGUCCCCUCCUAUAGAUGUCACCCCAUAACACCCUCCCUUUCAGACUGGAGUGGAAAUGUUCCCUAUCAGACAGAAAGAUCCCGAAACAAGACCGCUUCUGAGGUUAAGUAGCAAAAUGAAAGUGAGAUUCCCAAACAGAUUUCUUUUUCUGAGACAAAGACCCAUUAUCAGCUCAUUUUGAGAAGAUGCUGUGUGUUUUGAACACCUAUGGGGACUGAAUACAUGUUCAAAUGAUGACUAUUUGUAAGCUUUUAUAUAUUCAUUACAAUUUUCCCCAACUUUUAUUUUGAAAACUUUAAACCUUUAGAAAAAUUUAAUGCCCAGACAACCUUCAUCUAGAAUCACUAUUAAUGCUUCACCACGUUUGCUUUCUCUCUCUGUCUCUCUCUCUCCACACACACAAGUGCACUUUAACAGCUCUGACAUUUAGAUGUGUCUUACAGUUGAUAAUGAGGCAUAGCUAAGUGACACUUUCCUUUUUUCCCCAGUGGUUCAAAUAUUAACAGUGAAUCUUACAAUUGAUGGCAUCUUAGAUUCAAUAGACAACAGAACUGGAAACUGCUCAGUAUAAUGUCUGGCUUAUUGUCAAUGCUACACAAAUGCCAGCUAUCAUUACUAUAUUAAUAUAAUGGUGAAUUUGUCUAAUUCUUCUUAUAAUUUUGUCCAUUUUGAUCUAUUUCAGAGCUGUGUUGUUAAGUGCCUAUACAUUUACAACUGCUUCACCUUCCUGGUGAACUGAAACUUUUUUCUUUUUUUUUUUUUUGAGACGGAGUCUUACUCUGUCACUCAGGCUGGAGUGCAAUGGUGCGAUCUUGGCUCACGGCAACCUCUGUCU
Non-coding RNA from Chlorocebus sabaeus (green monkey), 2382 nucleotides. The record is from RefSeq and is a predicted model, not a curated record. NCBI's taxonomy places the organism in Eukaryota, Metazoa, Chordata, Mammalia, Primates, Cercopithecidae.